CCGCUAUUGGAGUUCGAUUAAGCCAUGCGAGUCGAGAGUCCUCGGGACUCGGCGUACCGCUCAGUAACACGUGGGUAACCUGCCCUAUGCUGGGGAAUAACCUCGGGAAACUGAGAAUAAUGCCCCAUAGCCCACUACGCCUGGAACGGUGAGUGGGUCAAAGCUCCGGCGGCAUAGGAUGGGCCUGCGCCGUAUCAGGUUGUAGGGGGUGUAAAGUACCCUCUAGCCAUCAACGCGUACGGGUGUUGGGAGACGUUGCCCGGAGAUGGAUUCUGAGACACGAAUCCAGACCCUACGGGGUGCAGCAGGCGCGAAAACUUGGCAAUGCGAGCAAUCGUGACCAGGGAACUCCAAGUGCGUAGGGUAAGAMCUACGCUUUUCUUGGCUCUCAAAGGUCUGGAAUAAGGGGUGGGUAAGGACGGUGCCAGCCGCCGCGGUAAUACCGGCGCCUCAAAGUGGUAGUCGCUUUUAUUGGGCCUAAAACGUCCGUAGCCGGUCUGGUGCAUUCGUGGGUAAAUCAACCCGCUCAACGGGUUGAAUUCUGCGAGCACGGCCAGACUUGGGACCGGGAGAGGUGUGGGGUACUCUCAGGGUAGGGGUAAAAUCCUGUCAUCCUGAGAGGACCACCUGUUGCGAGGGCGCCACACUAGAACGGAUCCGACGGUCAGGGACGAAACCUAGGGGCACGAACCGGAUUAGAUACCCGGGUAGUCCUAGGUGUAAACGCUGUGGACUUGAUGUUGGGGGCGCUCCGAGCGCUCUCAGUGUCGAAGCGAAGGUGAUAAGUCCACUGCCUGGGGAGUACGGUCGCAAGGCUGAAACUUAAAGGAAUUGGCGGGGGAGCACUGCAACCUGAGGAUUGUGCGG
RNAcentral lists this ribosomal RNA (867 nucleotides) under uncultured archaeon. RNAcentral's name for it is "bacterial SSU rRNA". It matches the Rfam family "Archaeal small subunit ribosomal RNA", at positions 27 to 900 of the family's 1478-position model. The record is from RNAcentral.